UGGCAAGCUCAUAAAUGCUGUCCGAGCAGU
Molecule: non-coding RNA, 30 nt
Filed under: Rattus norvegicus (Norway rat)
Lineage: Eukaryota; Metazoa; Chordata; Mammalia; Rodentia; Muridae
Source: RNAcentral